RNAcentral lists this ribosomal RNA (497 nucleotides) under uncultured bacterium. RNAcentral's name for it is "partial 16S ribosomal RNA". It matches the Rfam family "Bacterial small subunit ribosomal RNA", at positions 28 to 507 of the family's 1533-position model. The record is from RNAcentral.
GAUGAACGCUGGCGGCGUGCCUAAUACAUGCAAGUCGAGCGAACAGACGAGGAGCUUGCUCCUCUGACGUUAGCGGCGGACGGGUGAGUAACACGUGGAUAACCUACCUAUAAGACUGGGAUAACUUCGGGAAACCGGAGCUAAUACAGGAUAAUAUAUUGAACCGCAUGGUUCAAUAGUGAAAGACGGUUUUGCUGUCACUUAUAGAUGGAACCGCGCCGCAUUAGCUAGUUGGUAAGGUAACGGCUUACCAAGGCGACGAUGCGUAGCCGACCUGAGAGGAUGAUCGGCCACACUGGAACUGAGACACGGUCCAGACUCCUACGGGAGGCAGCAGUAGGGAAUCUUCCGCAAUGGGCGAAAGCCUGACGGAGCAACGCCGCGUGAGUGAUGAAGGUCUUCGGAUCGUAAAACUCUGUUAUUAGGGAAGAACAAAUGUGUAAGUAACUAUGCACGUCUUGACGGUACCUAAUCAGAAAGCCACGGCUAACUACGUG